GAACCGUGCGAACGUUGUUCGGAUUCACUGGGCUUAAAGGGCGCGUAGGCGGCUUGCCAAGUCAGGGGUGAAAUCUUCCAGCUCAACUGGAAAAGUGCCCUUGAUACUGGCAGGCUUGAGGGAGGUAGGGGCACGUGGAACUUCCAGUGGAGCGGUGAAAUGCGUUGAUAUUGGAAGGAACGCCGGUGGCGAAAGCGACGUGCUGGCCCUCUUCUGACGCUGAGGCGCGAAAGCUAGGGGAGCGAACGGGGGAUUAGAUACCCCGGUAGUCCUAGCCCUAAACGAUGGGUACUAGGUAGUGGACUUAACAUGGGUUCACUGCCCGAAGCAAAAGUGUUAAGUACCCCGCCUGGGGAGUAUGGUCGCAAGGCUG
This 373-nucleotide ribosomal RNA is filed under the name uncultured organism. RNAcentral's name for it is "partial 16S ribosomal RNA". It matches the Rfam family "Bacterial small subunit ribosomal RNA", at positions 527 to 896 of the family's 1533-position model. The record is from RNAcentral.